UAGAGUUUGAUCAUGGCUCAGAUUGAACGCUGGCGGCAGGCCUAACACAUGCAAGUCGAGCGGUAACAGAAAGAAAGCUUGCUUUCUUUGCUGACGAGCGGCGGACGGGUGAGUAAUGCCUGGGAAUAUACCCUGAUGUGGGGGAUAACUAUUGAAACGAUAGCUAAUACCGCAUAAUCUCUUCGGAGCAAAGAGGGGGACCUUCGGGCCUCUCGCGUCAGGAUUAGCCCAGGUGGGAUUAGCUAGUUGGUGGGGUAAUGGCUCGCCAAGGCAACGAUCCCUAGCUGGUCUGAGAGGAUGAUCAGCCACACUGGAACUGAGACACGGUCCAGACUCCUACGGGAGGCAGCAGUGGGGAAUAUUGCACAAUGGGGGAAACCCUGAUGCAGCCAUGCCGCGUGUAUGAAGAAGGCCUUCGGGUUGUAAAGUACUUUCAGUUGUGAGGAAGGCGUUGAAGUUAAUAGCUUCAGCGUUUGACGUUAGCAACAGAAGAAGCACCGGCUAACUCCGUGCCAGCAGCCGCGGUAAUACGGAGGGCGCGAGCGUUAAUCGGAAUUACUGGGCGUAAAGCGCAUGCAGGCGGUCUGUUAAGCAAGAUGUGAAAGCCCGGGGCUCAACCUCGGAACAGCAUUUUGAACUGGCAGACUAGAGUCCUGUAGAGGGGGGUAGAAUUUCA
This 676-nucleotide ribosomal RNA is filed under the name uncultured Vibrionaceae bacterium. RNAcentral describes it as "bacterial SSU rRNA". It matches the Rfam family "Bacterial small subunit ribosomal RNA", at positions 1 to 671 of the family's 1533-position model. The record is from RNAcentral. Lineage: Bacteria; Pseudomonadati; Pseudomonadota; Gammaproteobacteria; Vibrionales; Vibrionaceae.